This 1448-nucleotide long non-coding RNA is filed under the name Scleropages formosus (Asian bonytongue). RNAcentral's name for it is "lncRNA (ENSSFOG00015026420.1)". Lineage: Eukaryota; Metazoa; Chordata; Actinopteri; Osteoglossiformes; Osteoglossidae. The record is from RNAcentral.
CUUUGCACUUUUUAUCCCACUGACCUGUCAGAGGCAGGUGCGAAGUCUGCUGUUGAAAAGACGAAGAGAUCUACUUUAGCUACCAUUCGGAGGGAAGGUGUUCCUGCAUUGUGGAAAGACCAUCCAGAAGAUUUCUGUGUGAAGUGAAGGACAGUGUCAUGGGAGUGUGUGUGGUGUGUUGAAGUUGUUUCACACAUACACAUAUUAAAACCACCAGACAAAUUAGGGGGCUGAAUUUGGGUCCAGUUUGUAGCUCCAACACCUUAGGACAACCCUGUGGUUGUACUUUAAAAUGAAUACAUGAAUUGAUGGAGUAAAUAAUCCAACUAAAAAUGGUAAGUUGCUGUUGUGGUACAAUAUAUAUAUUCUGAAGUUAACCAGUUGGUCUGCUCACUCCAGAAUGUGUCCACAUAGCAUCUCCCUCACUAACACAACUGACAGUUUCCACAUCCCAGGAUGUCUUGUUUAGAUCCCUCUUUUGUUACCCUGUUUUAAAUUCCUGUUGCUAUUCCCGUAGGUUCUUCGCCCUUACCUGGCUUCAUCCUUCCUUCAUUUAGACCAUGAUCAGCCUGAGCAACAAAGGUUUUCAUCCUGAGAUGCUUGGAGUUCUGGUUGAAUUGCCUACUCCCAACAAACAUUCCAUUGAAGAGGUUGAAACUGGGAAGCCAAGUCCUAUAUACAAUGCCUUUACCUAGAUGCCAACAUCUCAUGUUACGCCACAGCUGCUGUGGAACAGUCCUACCACAAAAGUACACAAAGUGCAAUGAGCAUUGCCUCUGUCUUGGCUCAAGAUCAUUGCCCGGGGUUGGGCCAAUUUGAAAUCCCCUUCCCUUCUCAAACAACUAUCUAAAUCGAAGAGUUGACACCAAAGUUUCCUUGAGCUUUGUUGGGGAAAAAAGAAAACUCAAAGGCAAUUUUCAUUGGAUGAACACUCUUGAUCUGCCACAUCUGGGGCUAAAAGAAAACCGAGCAGACACUCUGGGAAUCCUGAGGGGGGUCGUGGCAAGCCGGAGCCGGCAACACAGGAUGCAGGGCCAAGGGGACACACCUAGGAGGGACACCACUCCAUCGCAAGGCAUCACAAGCAGGGCUUGAGCCCCAGACUCGCUGCGCCACCACACCCACCUGCUGCUACACCUCACACAGUCCACAACCGCUUGUCUCGAGCUGGGUUGCGGAGACCCGGCAACACAGAGCGUAAGGCUGAAGGGGGAGGGGACACACCCAGGAUGGGACGCCAGUCUGCCGCAAGGCAACCCAACCAGGAUUUGAACGCUGGACCCACCACAGAGCAGGACCUGGCAAAACCCACUGCGCCACUAGGCUCCCUUGGUGCCACACCUUUAUUUGUUUAAUCAACCAAGGUCACUGAUGGAAAGUGUGUGAACCUCUAGGAUCACAACAUUUUGAAAAGAUCUCCAGCAGCACCACUGUGGAAGGAUCCAAAG